RNAcentral lists this transfer RNA (76 nucleotides) under Anaplasmataceae bacterium. Its description in RNAcentral is "tRNA-Phe". It matches the Rfam family "tRNA". From Rfam's summary of the family: Transfer RNA (tRNA) molecules are approximately 80 nucleotides in length. Their secondary structure includes four short double-helical elements and three loops (D, anti-codon, and T loops). The record is from RNAcentral. Lineage: Bacteria; Pseudomonadati; Pseudomonadota; Alphaproteobacteria; Rickettsiales; Anaplasmataceae.
GGCUCGGUAGCUCAGUUGGUAGAGCAUGGGACUGAAAAUCCCUGUGUCACUGGUUCAAGUCCUGUUCGAGCCACCA